AUUGAACGCUGGCGGCAUGCUUUACACAUGCAAGUCGAACGGCAGCGCGGUCUGCGGCCGGGCUGCGGGUGGCGAACGGGUGAGUAAUACAUCGGAACGUGCCCAGCAGCGGUGGAUAGCUCGGCGAAAGCGGGAUUAAUACCGCAUACGACCUGAGGGUGAAAGCGGGGGAGCUUCGGACCUCGCGCCAUUGGAGCGGCCGAUGGCAGAUUAGCGAGUUGGUGGGGUAAAGGGCUACCAAGGCGACGAUCUGUAGCUGGUCUGAGAGGACGACCAGCCACCCCGGGACUGAGACCCGGCCCAGACUCCUACGGGAGGCCGCCGUGGGGAAUUUUGGACCAUGGGCGGAAGCCUGAUCCAGCCCUGCCGCGUGUGUUAUGAAGGCCUUCGGGUUUUAAAGCACUUUUGGCGGGAACGAAAAGGACUGUGCCAAUAACACGGUUGGAUGACGGUACCCGCAGGAUUAGCCCCGGCUAACUACGUG
This 484-nucleotide ribosomal RNA is filed under the name uncultured bacterium. RNAcentral's name for it is "partial 16S ribosomal RNA". It matches the Rfam family "Bacterial small subunit ribosomal RNA", at positions 28 to 507 of the family's 1533-position model. The record is from RNAcentral.